AGCUUGCUCCCUUUGGUUAGCGGCGGACGGGUGAGUAACACGUGGGCAACCUGCCUAUAAGACUGGGAUAACUUCGGGAAACCGGAGCUAAUACCGGAUAAUCCUUUUCCUCUCAUGAGGAAAAGCUGAAAGACGGUUUCGGCUGUCACUUAUAGAUGGGCCCGCGGCGCAUUAGCUAGUUGGUGAGGUAAUGGCUCACCAAGGCGACGAUGCGUAGCCGACCUGAGAGGGUGAUCGGCCACACUGGGACUGAGACACGGCCCAGACUCCUACGGGAGGCAGCAGUAGGGAAUCUUCCGCAAUGGACGAAAGUCUGACGGAGCAACGCCGCGUGAACGAUGAAGGCCUUCGGGUCGUAAAGUUCUGUUGUUAGGGAAGAACAAGUACCGGAGUAACUGCCGGUACCUUGACGGUACCUAACCAGAAAGCCACGGCUAACUACGUGCCAGCAGCCGCGGUAAUACGUAGGUGGCAAGCGUUGUCCGGAAUUAUUGGGCGUAAAGCGCGCGCAGGCGGUUCCUUAAGUCUGAUGUGAAAGCCCCCGGCUCAACCGGGGAGGGUCAUUGGAAACUGGGGAACUUGAGUACUGAAGAGGAAAGCGGAAUUCCACGUGUAGCGGUGAAAUGCGUAGAGAUGUGGAGGAACACCAGUGGCGAA
RNAcentral lists this ribosomal RNA (657 nucleotides) under Neobacillus soli. RNAcentral describes it as "bacterial SSU rRNA". It matches the Rfam family "Bacterial small subunit ribosomal RNA", at positions 77 to 719 of the family's 1533-position model. The record is from RNAcentral. Lineage: Bacteria; Bacillati; Bacillota; Bacilli; Caryophanales; Bacillaceae.